GCCUCUGUAGCUCAGUUGGUAGAGCAGAGGACUGAAAAUCCUCGUGUCGUUGGUUCGAUUCCGACCGGAGGCACCA
Molecule: transfer RNA, 76 nt
Filed under: [Eubacterium] siraeum
Lineage: Bacteria; Bacillati; Bacillota; Clostridia; Eubacteriales; Oscillospiraceae
Also listed under: 59 other names
Description: tRNA-Phe
Rfam family: tRNA
About the family: Transfer RNA (tRNA) molecules are approximately 80 nucleotides in length.
Source: RNAcentral